Long non-coding RNA from Salvia splendens (bonfire salvia), 403 nucleotides. RefSeq lists it as uncharacterized. The record is from RefSeq and is a predicted model, not a curated record. Lineage: Eukaryota; Viridiplantae; Streptophyta; Magnoliopsida; Lamiales; Lamiaceae. The transcript has 2 exons.
AAUCAAGGCGUGUGCACAAGAUAUCCCAGCUAUGCUGCCUCCCACAACCACUGCCUUUGCCUUCCUCUGAGCUUCCUUCAUCUCCAUCGACCUGUGUGUGUGUGUGUGUUGAUUCUUCUAGGAACCUUGAAAGCUAUCAGGGAAGAAACUCUGCCUUAUUGAAGAGAAACCAUCAGCUACCACAAGAUCACCUGCAACCUCAAUUAUCUCUCCAGAUUUAAAGCUUUAUUUUUCAAAUUCAAACUAGAUAGGAUUGGUGGCAAAAAUCUUUGUCAAUAACCACAAACAUCUUUACAAACAGAUCAGCUUUCGAAUUAUGAAUCUUAUUGUAUAUAUAAGUACACAAAUAUAUGUUUUGACAGAAACUGUGAAUAUAUACAUGUGGUCAGCUCAGUCAUCUUCA